Molecule: ribosomal RNA, 695 nt
Filed under: uncultured Bacteroidales bacterium
Lineage: Bacteria; Pseudomonadati; Bacteroidota; Bacteroidia; Bacteroidales
Description: bacterial SSU rRNA
Rfam family: Bacterial small subunit ribosomal RNA
Source: RNAcentral
AACGCUAGCUACAGGCUUAACACAUGCAAGUCGAGGGGCAGCAUUAUCGAAGCUUGCUUUGAUAGAUGGCGACCGGCGCACGGGUGAGUAACGCGUAUCCAACCUUCCCCAUGGUCAGGAAUAGCCCGGCGAAAGUCGAAUUAAUGCCUGAUGUUUUCCACGGACGGCAUCUGAUGUGGAACAAAGAUUCAUCGCAAUGGGAUGGGGAUGCGUCUGAUUAGCUUGUUGGCGGGGUAACGGCCCACCAAGGCAACGAUCAGUAGGGGUUCUGAGAGGAAGGUCCCCCACAUUGGAACUGAGACACGGUCCAAACUCCUACGGGAGGCAGCAGUGAGGAAUAUUGGUCAAUGGGCGGAAGCCUGAACCAGCCAAGUAGCGUGAGGGAUGACUGCCCUAUGGGUUGUAAACCUCUUUUAUAAGGGAAUAAAAUACGGGACGUGUCCUGUUUUGCAUGUACCUUAUGAAUAAGGACCGGCUAAUUCCGUGCCAGCAGCCGCGGUAAUACGGAAGGUCCGGGCGUUAUCCGGAUUUAUUGGGUUUAAAGGGAGCGCAGGCGGUCUUAUAAGCGUGACGUGAAAUGCAGCGGCUCAACCGUAUGAUGUGCGUCGCGAACUGUGAGACUUGAGUGUAUUCGAUGUCAGCGGAAUUUGUGGUGUAGCGGUGAAAUGCUUAGAUAUCACGAAGAACUCCGAUUG